Molecule: non-coding RNA, 26 nt
Filed under: Rattus norvegicus (Norway rat)
Lineage: Eukaryota; Metazoa; Chordata; Mammalia; Rodentia; Muridae
Source: RNAcentral
UGACCUGUCAUGUGAAGAAGAGCUCC